UAGGGAAUCUUCGGCAAUGGACGAAAGUCUGACCGAGCAACGCCGCGUGAGUGAAGAAGGUUUUCGGAUCGUAAAACUCUGUUGUUAGAGAAGAACAAGGACGUUAGUAACUGAACGUCCCCUGACGGUAUCUAACCAGAAAGCCACGGCUAACUACGUGCGAGCAGCCGCGGUAAUACGUAGGUGGCAAGCGUUGUCCGGAUUUAUUGGGCGUAAAGCGAGCGCAGGCGGUUUCUUAAGUCUGAUGUGAAAGCCCCCGGCUCAACCGGGGAGGGUCAUUGAAAACUGGGAGACUUGAGUGCAGAAGAGGAGAGUGAAAUUCCAUGUGUAGCGGUGAAAUGCGUAGAUGUAUGGAGGAACACCAGUGGCGAAGGCGGCUCUCUGGUCUGUAACUGACGCUGAGGCUCGAGAGCGUGGGGAGCAAACAGG
Molecule: ribosomal RNA, 429 nt
Filed under: Gemmatimonadota bacterium
Lineage: Bacteria; Pseudomonadati; Gemmatimonadota
Description: Gemmatimonadetes bacterium partial 16S ribosomal RNA
Rfam family: Bacterial small subunit ribosomal RNA
Source: RNAcentral